CGGCCACCCCCGGGCGGCUUGUAGCCGGUGCGCGGGGUGGCUGGGGCUACGUGCAGAGCUGUCGCGGAGCCGGAGCAGCAGCGGUGAAGGCCCUCGGCUCGGCCGAGACCGCCGUGCCCACUGCUCGCCUCGGUUGCCGCCGCUUUAGCCGCAGCCGCUGCUGCCGCCGCCGGGGGAGAGGCAGCCUAUUGUCUUUCUCCGCGGCGAAGGUGAGGAGCUGUCUCGGCUCGGCCCGCGGGGGAGCCCCGGGAGCCGCACGGUGGCAUUUUUCAACUCCGCUGGAGCCAGUGCCCAGGAGGAACAAAGGGUGUGCUGCCAGCCCCUGGCUCACCCAGUGGCCUCGUCCCAGAAGAAGCCAGAGGUAGCGGCCCCAGCCCCAGAGAGUGGGGGUGAGUCUGUGUUUGGGGAGACCCACCGGGCCCUGCAGGGGGCCAUGGAGAAGCUGCAGCGACUUUAUGGAAGGAGAAGGUGGACCUGAAGGAGCGGGUAGAGAAACUAGAGCUUCAAUUCAUCCACCUCUCAGGACAGACAGACACCAUAGAAAGUACAUCAGCCAGGGGGCAGUGUCAGAGACGCAGCACUGGGAGAGGAGGACAUCGUCAGGCUGGCCCAGGACCAGGAGGAGAUGAAGGUGAACCUGCAGGAGCUGCGGGGCAGGUGUUGCAGCUUGUGGGCGACCACAAGGAGGGGCAUGGCAAAUUUUGACCAUUGCCCAGAACCCUGCUGAUGAGCCCACUCUAGGAGCCCCAGUAGCCCAGGAGCUUGGGUGUGCUGACGAGCAGGGUGGCUUUUAUCCUAGAUCACCACUGGAUUGCUGACAGAUAGAGGAGGUGGGACCCUGACUAUCACCCCUAAUCUGCAGUGGAUUUGGCUCUCGGCACUCCCAGGCUGGGAGCUGGAUACCUGCCCUGGCAGCAUGGCUCAGACUGCAUGACAGCUCUUUACCCAGUUACCCUCCAGUUCCUCACAACGUAUGCCUAUCUCCGUCAUGCCCCGGACUGCAUUGAAGCCAGGCUGCCUUGAAGAAGCUCUCCCAGACUGCCCUUUUCCCCAAGGCAGGGUCAUGAUUUGCCAAAGGUUUCGUGUGUGUGUUAGCAAGACUGGAGUCAGAGCAGGCAUCAAACUUUACAUCCCAUAUGUCACACCUCACCAUAGACCUGGGUGCCAAAUAGCCUGAAGAGUCUGAACUCACGUUGGCAGUUAGGAAAGUGCUCCUACAGACGCAUCUACGGUUAACAUAGCAUCCCUAUGGCCACUGUCUCCCUUGAUCCCCACAGCCAUUCUAGGAGAAAGGCAGAAUGUCAUAAUUUGCUAAAAGGGAUGCUGAGGCUCUGGGAGGGAAAGGGACUUGCCUAAAGCCCCAGGGUGAAGCAGCAUCUCUGGACUCCCAGUCCAGUGAUCUUGCCCAAUACUUUGCUGCUUGCCUAUACCCCUCUAACUUGGUCAACAGCACAUCACAGGGCAAGCCCCAAUCCCUGCUUCAUUUUUAUAUAUGGGCGCUGGUCCCACAGCCCCACUCUCCAGCCAUUUGGAAACAAAAACAGAUGCUAUUGUUCUUCCUUAGAGAACGUGGCCAGUGGAGACGGCACACUGGAAAUCAGAGUGAAUGUUCUUGAAAGAGGGUCACGGGUCAACAAGGCCCAGCCAAAGGAUGCAGUAGAACCAUUUUCCUUAGAAAUCUUUGGGAGUGAAGUAGGCUUCAGCCACUCCCAUCCCUGCCCUUGCGGCUACCACUACCCCAUUAGUUUAGACAGGGUCGGGCGGGGAGGGGUGUGGAGAAGAAA
RNAcentral lists this long non-coding RNA (1784 nucleotides) under Homo sapiens (human). RNAcentral's name for it is "long non-coding RNA NONHSAT171872.1". The record is from RNAcentral. Lineage: Eukaryota; Metazoa; Chordata; Mammalia; Primates; Hominidae.